GCCCCCUUACGUUUUGGCAUUUAUUUACAAGCGGCGCGACUGUGUUGAUGAUGACAGAGCGUCCCGCAGCUUUCUCCCAGUGUAACCACUCUGUAACAGACUCCCAGUGAUGAUGCAGGCGGACUUGAACUGGCGGCUGAUCGUACCCGGGGCCACGCAGGAGGAGGAGGAGGAACGGUACCGGAACCAGCGAGGGUGCCGGUGCUGCUGUGACGGAGCGCAUCGGGAGAAGGCGAGCUUCUACAGCCUGGUCCUAGUGCUGCUGCUGGUGCUGGUGCUGGUGCUGCUGGUGCUGGUGCUGGUGCUGCUUCUGCUGAUGGGAGCACUGGGAUGGUUUGAUCUGACCGGAGACCAAAAGCUCGGGACGUCUCCUGACAGCACUUUACCAGACUAUGAAGCACUGACGUCAGCACUCCAGGGCGGUGAUUUGAUGAAUUGGCCAAGUGCGAUGCUGACAGGUAGAGUUGCUAUGGAAACCACAGUAUAAAUGCAUUUGGAAGAAGUUUAGAACUAAAGAGCUUUUAUUUUUAAAUUAUUACAUGUAAUAGCGUAAAUAAAGUUAAUGCUAACGGUUGGCU
Molecule: long non-coding RNA, 578 nt
Filed under: Gouania willdenowi (blunt-snouted clingfish)
Lineage: Eukaryota; Metazoa; Chordata; Actinopteri; Blenniiformes; Gobiesocidae
Description: lncRNA (ENSGWIG00000013858.1)
Source: RNAcentral